Molecule: ribosomal RNA, 253 nt
Filed under: uncultured bacterium
Lineage: Bacteria
Description: partial 16S ribosomal RNA
Rfam family: Bacterial small subunit ribosomal RNA
Source: RNAcentral
UACGGGGGUGGCAAGCGUUGUUCGGAAUUACUGGGCGUAAAGGGCUCGUAGGCGGCCAACUAAGUCAUACGUGAAAUCCCUCGGCUUAACCGGGGAACUGCGUCUGAUACUGGAUGGCUUGAGUUCGGGAGAGGGAUGCGGAAUUCCAGGUGUAGCGGUGAAAUGCGUAGAUAUCUGGAGGAACACCGGUGGCGAAGGCGGCAUCCUGGACCGAUACUGACGCUGAGGAGCGAAAGCCAGGGGAGCAAACGGG